RNAcentral lists this small RNA (29 nucleotides) under Bombyx mori (domestic silkworm). Its description in RNAcentral is "ovarian small RNA-33340". The record is from RNAcentral. Lineage: Eukaryota; Metazoa; Arthropoda; Insecta; Lepidoptera; Bombycidae.
UGCAACUUUGCAACGAAAGAAGUCAGAUG